UGGGGAAUAUUGCACAAUGGAGGGAACUCUGAUGCAGCAACGCCGCGUGAAGGAAGAAGGGAUUCGUCUCGUAAACUUCUAUCGACAGGGAAGAAAGAAAUGACGGUACCUGAAUAAGAAGCCCCGGCUAACUAUGUGCCAGCAGCCGCGGUAAUACAUAGGGGGCAAGCGUUAUCCGGAAUGACUGGGUGUAAAGGGUGAGUAGGCGGUAGGAUAAGCCAUAUGUGAAAGCCCGGGGCUCAACCCCGGGACUGCAUAAGGAACUGUUCAACUAGAGUACAGGAGAGGUAAGCGGAAUUCCUAGUGUAGCGGUGAAAUGCGUAGAUAUUAGGAGGAACACCAGUGGCGAAGGCGGCUUACUGGACUGGUUACUGACGCUGAGUCACGAAAGCGUGGGGAGCAAACA
This 406-nucleotide ribosomal RNA is filed under the name uncultured bacterium. RNAcentral describes it as "bacterial SSU rRNA". It matches the Rfam family "Bacterial small subunit ribosomal RNA", at positions 355 to 774 of the family's 1533-position model. The record is from RNAcentral.